AUACCUACCUGGUAAGGGAGAUACCAUGAUUACAAAGUUGGUUUUCUAAAGGCAAGACUUAUCAUUGCAUUCCAGAUGUACUGACCCCUGCGAUUUCCCCAACUGUGGAAAACUCAGCUGAAUAUUUUUGGCAGUGGGGGACUGCAUUUGCACUCUCCCU
This is a small nuclear RNA of Talpa occidentalis (Iberian mole), 160 nucleotides long. RefSeq annotates it as U1 spliceosomal RNA. Lineage: Eukaryota; Metazoa; Chordata; Mammalia; Eulipotyphla; Talpidae. The transcript has a single exon. The record is from RefSeq and is a predicted model, not a curated record.